RNAcentral lists this ribosomal RNA (119 nucleotides) under Pseudomonas aeruginosa. RNAcentral describes it as "partial 16S ribosomal RNA". It matches the Rfam family "Bacterial small subunit ribosomal RNA", at positions 1 to 118 of the family's 1533-position model. Lineage: Bacteria; Pseudomonadati; Pseudomonadota; Gammaproteobacteria; Pseudomonadales; Pseudomonadaceae. The record is from RNAcentral.
GAACUGAAGAGUUUGAUCAUGGCUCAGAUUGAACGCUGGCGGCAGGCCUAACACAUGCAAGUCGAGCGGAUGAAAGGAGCUUGCUCCUGGAUUCAGCGGCGGACGGGUGAGUAAUGCCU